Molecule: long non-coding RNA, 1930 nt
Filed under: Nicotiana benthamiana
Lineage: Eukaryota; Viridiplantae; Streptophyta; Magnoliopsida; Solanales; Solanaceae
Description: long non-coding RNA (NBEN_LNC038740)
Source: RNAcentral
GAUAAAACUUAUAAAAUCCGAAAACUCAUUCAAUUAUGAGUUCAACCAUGCUAGCUUCUCUCAAAUCCGACUCCAGAUCGAUGUUCAAACCUUAAAAUUCAUAUUAUGACACUUUAGGCUAAAACCCCCAAUUUUCUCUUUAGAAUUUACAAUACAAUUACCAAAAACUAAGAUAUAUUCACAAAGUAUGACCAAAACCAAGUAGAGAAUACAUAACCCAAUUCAUAUUGUGAAAAUUGCUUCAAGAAUUGCCUUAAGCCAAGCUCCAUAGCUCCAAAAAUUUAAAAAUGGCCGAAACCUUCGAAAUAGAAAACUUUAUAAUCUGCCCAGGCAUUCCUCUAACGUGAACGCGGGAAAUCCAUCGCGUUCGCGAUGAACAAAAUCAUACUGCCAACAAAAUAUUAUGCAUUCGCAGUAACGCGAUGACCGCUGAUGCCAAAGGUUCGCGAACGCGACUCAUAUUUCGUGAUCGCACUGAAAAAUUCCCCAACACUCAGCUGCCAAACCUUAACACUACGCGAACGCAUGGCAAUGGACGCGGACGCGAAGACAAUAAUUUCAACCCAGUGCGAACACGACCUCAGAAGCACGAACACGCAGAAUAAAUAGCUCUACUAACCAAAACACCUUUCGCGAUCGCGACCACACGUUUGCGAUCGCAAAGAACGCCAGAAGCAAUAGGUAAUAGCAGAAAAACCAGCAAUGCAAAGCCAUUUGAAAUAAUUCGAACUAUAUCCGAAAUUGACCCAAGCCCCUCGGGAUCCCGUCCGAACAUACCAACAAGUCUCAUAAUCCACCACAGACCUACUUAAGACCUCAAGUCACACAUAACAAUAUUAACGAGUCAAAUCGCACCUCAAAUCGAAAUCUAUGGACUUUGAACUUUCAAUUUUCAGAACUUUCGCCUAAAUAUAACAAAUCAACCCGGAAUGAACCCAUGUUUUGCACACAAGUCCCAAAUGACAUAAUGAAGCUAUACCAAUUCCCGAAACCACAAUCCGAAUCCGAUAUCAAAAAGUCCACCCCCGGUCAAGCUUUCCAGAAUCCAACUUUGGCCAUUUCAAGCCAAAUUCAACUAUGGAUCUCCAAAUCACAAUCUGGACACGCUCUUAAGUCCAAAAUUGCCCAGUGGAGCUAACGGAACAAUCAAAACUCCAAUCCAAGAUUAAAUACCAAAAAGUCAAACUUGGUCAACUCUUCCAAUUUAAACCUUCCUAGCUGAGAAUCAUUCUUCCAAAUCAAUUCCAAAUAGCUUGAAAACCAAAACCGACGAUUCACAUAAAUCAUAAUAUAUCAUACAGAGCUACUUUUGCCCUCAAACCAACAGGCGGAGUGCAAAUACUUAGAACAACUAGUUGAGUCAUUAAAAUAUUUAAAUAUUAUAAUAUAUUUAAAUAUCAAAAUAAAUGACAUAUUAAUAAUUUUAAGGUUCUAUACAAUAUUUGAAUAAACCAGCCAAUACAAAGAAAUAAGUGGUUAUUGAAAAAACAAAUACACUUAAAAAUCGGAAAAAGUUAAAGACUCAAAAUAUUUGCAGUAUCAGAAGUGCGAUAGUAGUAGUACACUCUUUAAUAUUCUAAAAAGGAAAAUACAGAGCACCCGGUCAAACUAGUAGCAGCCUCUCCUAAUUAAACAAAAUAAAAAGUCAUAAAUUAUGAUACUCUCGUGCUCCCUCUCUGUAUAUAUCUUCAAAGUUGGAACUAUACGAAAAAUACUAGUAUAAGUUAUAUCUUUUCUCAUUCUAAUAUGAUUAAAAAAUAUAUUUUAAAAUAUUAAUAAAAUUCAUGUAGUUUAUCUUCCGAUAAAUGAAAUGUAUUUAUAAACUAAAACAAAAAUAAUACACAUGACUUCAUUCUUCCCUACCACCAUGUGACGAGACCGUAACUCAAACACGACGAUCUGUCCGGCCUAGCGAACUUUCAAUGCCAAA